Molecule: long non-coding RNA, 518 nt
Filed under: Salmo salar (Atlantic salmon)
Lineage: Eukaryota; Metazoa; Chordata; Actinopteri; Salmoniformes; Salmonidae
Description: lncRNA (ENSSSAG00000099280.1)
Source: RNAcentral
CCUGGUCUAACCUGGUCAUUGAAGUGUCUAUGAUAGUUAAUACCCCUAAAAGCCAGAGAAAGUUCAAGUGUUAGGAGGUGUCAUCUCAGAUGUUGAAGAGGGGUUGAGUUUCCUCAGUGUGUUAGGAGGUGUCAUCUCAGAUGUUGAAGAGGUGUCAGGUUGAGUUUCCUCAGUGUGUUAGGAGGUGUCAUCUCAGAUGUUGAAGAGGUGUUGGGUUGAGUUUCCUCAGUGUGUUAGGAGGUGUCAUCUCAGAUGAUGAAGAGGUAUCGGGUUGAGUUUCCUCAGUGUGUUAGGAGGUGUCAUCUCAGAUGUUGAAGAGGGGUUGAGUUUCCUCAGUGUGUUAGGAGGUGUCAUCUCAGAUGUUGAAGAGGUGUUGAGUUUCAUCAAUGUGUUAGGAGGUGUCAUCUCAGAUGUUGAAGAGGUAUUGGGUUUCCUCAGUGUGUUAGGAGGUGUCAUCUCAGAUGUUGAAGAGGUAUUGGGUUUCCUCAGUGUGUUAGGAGGUGUCAUCUCAGAUGUUG